Dromaius novaehollandiae (emu) is the source of this 1456-nucleotide long non-coding RNA. RefSeq lists it as uncharacterized. The record is from RefSeq and is a predicted model, not a curated record. Lineage: Eukaryota; Metazoa; Chordata; Aves; Casuariiformes; Dromaiidae. The transcript has 3 exons.
ACCCAGCUGAAACCCCGGGCUGGCUGCCAGGUGCCUCCUCCCGGGGCGGUGGCGGCGAGACGGGGCGGCGCGGCGCCGGGCAUCCUCCAUGCCUCGUGUUGCGGAGGGAGACUCGGCAGCACAGGAAUAAAAAUCUUCAGAAGUGCGCUGUGGGUGCACCAAGAAACGCCCGUGCACUCACGAGUCAGCAUUGAGCGUUUGGGAUUUUUCCAGAGGUGUCUGGUUGAAAAAUUUCUUUCCUAUUCUGGCGUUUAAAAAGGUCGAAACCUUGUUUGCGUCUGCUCGGCAAAGCUGCACCGGCUCCUGCGGCGGCAGCCGCUGGCGUUGGAGCACGUUCACUGCCCUGCCGCGGGGGAUCAGCGCGGUGACCGGGCGCAGCGGCCGCGAUGCUCCUGCUCUCCUUUUUUCCCGGGGCGGCUGCAGCUGCGACGGCGAUGGGCGAGGGCUGCACGUGGCCCACGCGCCCCAAAGCGCGUCCGCACGGAGCUUGCAACGCCCUCGGCCCCAGGACGCGGGCUGUGGUCUAGCCGGAGCCGCCGCCGCGUGCCCUUGCUCCAGCGAAGGUCUGCUGGUCCCUCCCGUGACGGACGAGGUGCCCCUGGUGCCGGGUGCUCGUUGCAGAGCACCUCACCCAGGUUUCUGCGGAUUAAGGAGGCAGAAGCACGAAGGUUUUGCUCGAAGGAGGAGGAGGAGGUGGAGGAAGGCUUCGCAGGGUGGCUGCGUUCCUGGGCCACGCUGAGCCCGGCGCGGGACACCUUCCUGACGGGAUGCAGGCCUGACGCUCCCCUGGGUUAGACGCCAGCUCUCCGGCCGCUCUCCCAGGUGGGACGCGCUUCCUAAUAUCACAAAUACCUUUAAAAACCCAAACCAGGGCCUGGAUUUACACUGCAAUGAUUUUCCAUCCGUUCCCACCCCGGCGGCUGGGAGGCAGUGGGUGCAGCAGCUGCCCCCGCUCCGGCGCCCCGAAAGGAGCUUCCCUAGAAACCACGAGAUUUGCAGCAAACCCAGCAGGAACAGAGGGAAGCGGCAGGUUUCAGGAGAGUGGUGCAUGCUGUCGCUUGGCCAGAUCCCUGCUCGGCCGCCAGCCCCGGCCAGCAGCGAAGCCGUCCCUGCAUCCCACCGCGGUGACGAGCAGCAGCGCGGCCCCCGCACCGUGUUUGCUCCGCGUGCACGACGCCGCUGCAACCUCGGGCCGUCCGCGGCGGUCACGGCCAGCACCGUUCCCAGCGGUCGCGCUUGCCAUACCGAGCAGGCUUUCUUCGCCCGGCCGUCGUAGCCGCGCUGUCCCGCGGAGGGUGAUGGAUUGCUUUCUCGGUUGCGCAUGCUGUUAUCGCCGUGCUGUUCUAAUGCUGCUCAAACACCAUUGUGAAUAGCCAAACUCAAUAGCAGCAGUGUUAGGCUGGAAAGUCAAUAUUGUCUGAGCAAACACAGCGAAUAAAGAGUUGCUAUUUGCGUA